Non-coding RNA from Apiosordaria backusii, 109 nucleotides. NCBI's taxonomy places the organism in Eukaryota, Fungi, Ascomycota, Sordariomycetes, Sordariales, Lasiosphaeriaceae. The record is from the annotation of a GenBank genome assembly.
AGUCCCGUGGUCUAGUGGUUAAGAUUUCGCUCUUAUACCAUUCAGUCCUUUUCAUGAGGGCUAACGGUCAUAACAUGCGACUACCCGGGUUCAAACCCCGGCGGGACUA